UCGAAGUUAGCGGUUAGGGAAGAUCAAACGUAUUCCAGAGUUUACGUUUUUGUGUUAUAUGAAUCUGAUCGAAUGCCUUUUCUCAAACAAAAUCAUUAUACUCCGGUCAAGCCGUUGACCGUGUCGGCUGCGGUCUCUCACUUCUUUGAAGAACGAGGUGUUGACUGCUAACUGUUUGCGAAAACAUGCCAAUGGGAACUUCAAAUUUUGAUAUGAAAAAAGCUCUUGAGUCUUGAACGACAAGAAAUUCUUGUUCGCUUGGCCUGUUGCUCGACAGGAGCAUGGGAUGUUGUUACAGAGGCAAGAUUCAUUCAAGCAGAAGUUUGGAACCUUAGACGAUCAUAAUACCGACGGUCUACAGGAUUCUACUGAGGAUUUGUAGCCAAUUUGACUACUUAUGGGUUUCAAUGAAGAAAACAAAGCUAAGAAAGGAAUCCACAUAAACCCCAAGGGAUUUGCCAUUGGAGAUGGAAUCACUGAUUCAAUAUAAUGUGUACACUGAUUACGCGCUAGACAUGGGAAUAAUUAAGGAGUCUUCUACAUAAAAAACAUAGACAUGGGAAUAGUUAAGAAGUACUU
Molecule: long non-coding RNA, 579 nt
Filed under: Helianthus annuus (common sunflower)
Lineage: Eukaryota; Viridiplantae; Streptophyta; Magnoliopsida; Asterales; Asteraceae
Description: sRNA HanXRQr2_Chr08g0319701
Source: RNAcentral